UUUGUGUGCCAAUAUGAAUGCAGCUCCUACAAUGGAGGUGGAGGGGCAGCUAUCACCUGCAUGGGUGAAAAAGAAGUGGGAGGACCUGAAGCAAAAUACUUACACUUAUUGCUGUGCUUGGCUAAUAAAGUUCCCCUUUUCUCUGAAGCAACAACACUUUCCCAUCUAUUUCCUAUGCUUCACUGGCACAUUCAUGUGUUGAAAGCUCCCCCCACCGGAGUCAGCACGGAGGGAGGGGAGGCCACAGCCACAUCCUGGAAGUGGUAUGCGGGGAUGGGUGAGGCGCUGCAGGGGCUCUCACUCUAUCACCCCACCGGUCAUCAUCUCUUCUGUUCUUCUGUUUUUGGUGAAGUCCUUUAAACUCAAAGUGGAUUUCUGUUUUCUCAUUGAAAACUGUUUGUUUGUAAUAAAAUAAAAAAAUUGAUA
This is a long non-coding RNA of Oncorhynchus kisutch (coho salmon), 426 nucleotides long. RefSeq lists it as uncharacterized. The record is from RefSeq and is a predicted model, not a curated record. Lineage: Eukaryota; Metazoa; Chordata; Actinopteri; Salmoniformes; Salmonidae. The transcript has 3 exons.